Ficedula albicollis (Collared flycatcher) is the source of this 695-nucleotide long non-coding RNA. RefSeq lists it as uncharacterized. The transcript has 3 exons. The record is from RefSeq and is a predicted model, not a curated record. NCBI's taxonomy places the organism in Eukaryota, Metazoa, Chordata, Aves, Passeriformes, Muscicapidae.
GCGGCGCUGCGACGGGCCUGUGUUAUCUGUAAUUACUCCUCUCUGCAGAGAGGGAAAGAACUUCUUUCCGUGGGGGUGGCAGAGCACUGGGACAGGCUGCCCAGGGACAGCGUGGGGUCUCUCUCUCUGGACACAUUCAAACCCCACCUGGACACGUUCCUGAGUCACCUGCUCCCGGUGACCUUGCCUUGGCCGGGGCGUGGGACUGAGCCAUCUCCAGAAGCCGCUUCCAGCCCUAACUGCUCUGUGAUUGCGUGAUUGAACGCGAUUUGAAUUUUAAAUUGGUGGGUGCCCUGAGGAAGCCUUACUCCUUCCACUGUGGAAAACCCUGUCCCUGGAGGCUCACCCUGAUUUGGGGAAGCGCGGGCUUCCCAAGGGAUCACAUCGAACAGACCACCACGAGUUCUAAUGGCGCAUCAGACUCCAGCUCUAACAGCACGGUAGCCACCCCAUUAUGAGGUGGACCCCCUGAAUGGCAGGCAAUGACAGUGCAGUAGCAGUUUAAGGUACUGGCUUGUCUGGAGCUAAGCCACAUACGCUUUUACACUUCAGAUCUUAACCAUUGCUUCCCUUUUAACCAUCGGUCACGUCAUCCUAAGCACUAGCAUCAAAUGCACCCAGAUGUUGGCAUCUCUGUGUUCAAGGUGCAGGCACUUCAUCAGCAGCUUGGUCUCUAAGUACUUGUGAAAUACUGC